Molecule: ribosomal RNA, 253 nt
Filed under: uncultured bacterium
Lineage: Bacteria
Description: partial 16S ribosomal RNA
Rfam family: Bacterial small subunit ribosomal RNA
Source: RNAcentral
UACGGAGGGUGCGAGCGUUGUCCGGAAUCACUGGGCGUAAAGGGCGCGUAGGCGGUCUGCUAAGCGUGUGGUGAAAGCUCGGGGCUCAACCCCGAGUCUGCCAUGCGAACUGGUGGACUUGAGCACUGUAGAGGCAGGUGGAAUUCCGGGUGUAGCGGCGGAAUGCGUAGAGAUCCGGAAGAACACCGGUGGCGAAGGCGGUCUGCUGGGCAGUUGCUGACACUGAGGCGCGACAGCGUGGGGAGCAAACAGG